AACGAACGCUGGCGGCAUGCCUAACACAUGCAAGUCGAACGAGACCUUCGGGUCUAGUGGCGCACGGGUGCGUAACGCGUGGGAAUCUGCCCUUGGGUUCGGAAUAACUUCGGGAAACUGAAGCUAAUACCGGAUGAUGACGUAAGUCCAAAGAUUUAUCGCCCAAGGAUGAGCCCGCGUAGGAUUAGCUAGUUGGUGAGGUAAAGGCUCACCAAGGCGACGAUCCUUAGCUGGUCUGAGAGGAUGAUCAGCAACACUGGGACUGAGACACGGCCCAGACUCCUACGGGAGGCAGCAGUGGGGAAUCUUAGACAAUGGGCGCAAGCCUGAUCUAGCCAUGCCGCGUGAGCGAUGAAGGCCUUAGGGUUGUAAAGCUCUUUCAGAUGGGAAGAUAAUGACGGUACCGAUCAGAAGAAGCCCCGGCUAACUCCGUGCCAGCAGCCGCGGU
Molecule: ribosomal RNA, 448 nt
Filed under: uncultured bacterium
Lineage: Bacteria
Description: bacterial SSU rRNA
Rfam family: Bacterial small subunit ribosomal RNA
Source: RNAcentral